UACGUAGGUGGCAAGCGUUAUCCGGAAUUAUUGGGCGUAAAGAGCGCGCAGGUGGUUGAUUAAGUCUGAUGUGAAAGCCCACGGCUUAACCGCGGAGGGUCAUUGGAAACUGGUCGACUUGAGUGCAGAAGUGGGAAGUGGAAUUCCAUGUGUAGCGGUGAAAUGCGUAGAGAUAUGGAGGAACACCAGUGGCGAAGGCGGCUUCCUGGUCUGUAACUGACACUGAGGCGCGAAAGCGUGGGGAGCAAACAGGAUUAGAUA
This 261-nucleotide ribosomal RNA is filed under the name uncultured prokaryote. RNAcentral describes it as "partial 16S ribosomal RNA". It matches the Rfam family "Bacterial small subunit ribosomal RNA", at positions 524 to 784 of the family's 1533-position model. The record is from RNAcentral.